Molecule: ribosomal RNA, 253 nt
Filed under: uncultured bacterium
Lineage: Bacteria
Description: partial 16S ribosomal RNA
Rfam family: Bacterial small subunit ribosomal RNA
Source: RNAcentral
UACGGGGGGAGCAAGCGUUGUUCGGAUUUACUGGGCGUAAAGGGCUCGUAGGCGGCCAACUAAGUCGGAUGUGAAAUCCCCAGGCUCAACCUGGGAACUGCAUCCGAUACUGGAUGGCUUGAAUUCGGGAGAGGGAUGCAGAAUUCCAGGUGUAGCGGUGAAAUGCGUAGAUAUCUGGAGGAAUACCGGUGGCGAAGGCGGCAUCCUGGACCGACAUUGACGCUGAGGAGCGAAAGCUAGGGGAGCAAACGGG